GUCGAAUGACUUGGAAAAGUCAGUCAAAGAGGGUAAAAACCCCGUAGAUGAAAUUUGGAAGGCACCUAGGAGGAUCCUGAGUACGGCGGAACACGAGGAAUUCCGUCGGAAUCCGGGAGGACCAUCUCCCAAGGCUAAAUACUCCCUAGUGACCGAUAGUGAACCAGUACCGUGAGGGAAAGGUGAAAAGCACCCCGGAAGGGGAGUGAAAUAGAACCUGAAACCGUGUGCCUACAACAAGUCAAAGCCCGUUAAUGGGUGAUGGCGUGCCUUUUGUAGAAUGAACCGGCGAGUUACGAUUGCAUGCGAGGUUAAGUUGAAGAGACGGAGCCGCAGCGAAAGCGAGUCUGAAUAGGGCGUUUGAGUAUGUAGUCGUAGACCCGAAACCAUGUGAUCUACCCAUGUCCAGGUUGAAGGUGCGGUAAAACGCACUGGAGGACCGAACCCACGUACGUUGAAAAGUGCGGGGAUGAGGUGUGGGUAGCGGAGAAAUUCCAAACGAACUUGGAGAUAGCUGGUUCUCUCCGAAAUAGCUUUAGGGCUAGCCUCGGAAUUGAGAAUGAUGGAGGUAGAGCACUGUUUGGACUAGGGGCCCAUCUCGGGUUACCGAAUUCAGAUAAACUCCGAAUGCCAUUCAUUCAUAUCCGGGAGUCAGACUGUGAGUGAUAAGAUCCAUAGUCGAAAGGGAAACAGCCCAGACCACCAGCUAAGGUCCCAAAAUAUAUGUUAAGUGGAAAAGGAUGUGGGGUUGCACAGACAACUAGGAUGUUGGCUUAGAAGCAGCCACCAUUUAAAGAGUGCGUAAUAGCUCACUAGUCGAGUGACCCUGCGCCGAAAAUGUACCGGGGCUAAACAUAUUACCGAAGCUGUGGAGUACACCUUUAGGUGUAUUGGUAGGAGAGCGUUCUAAGGGCGUUGAAGGCAGAUCGUGAGGACUGCUGGAGCGCUUAGAAGUGAGAAUGCCGGUAUGAGUAGCGAAAGACAGGUGAGAAUCCUGUCCACCGAAUGACUAAGGUUUCCUGGGGAAGGCUCGUCCGCCCAGGGUUAGUCGGGACCUAAGCCGAGGCCGACAGGCGUAGGCGAUGGACAACAGGUUGAUAUUCCUGUACUCGUUGUUUUUGUUUGAGCAAUGGAGGGACGCAGGAGGCUAAGGAAUGCAGACGAUUGGAAAUGUCUGUCUAAGCAGUAAGUCU
RNAcentral lists this ribosomal RNA (1193 nucleotides) under Enterococcus hirae. Its description in RNAcentral is "partial 23S ribosomal RNA". It matches the Rfam family "Bacterial large subunit ribosomal RNA", at positions 332 to 1526 of the family's 2925-position model. The record is from RNAcentral. Lineage: Bacteria; Bacillati; Bacillota; Bacilli; Lactobacillales; Enterococcaceae.